This 253-nucleotide ribosomal RNA is filed under the name uncultured bacterium. Its description in RNAcentral is "partial 16S ribosomal RNA". It matches the Rfam family "Bacterial small subunit ribosomal RNA", at positions 524 to 776 of the family's 1533-position model. The record is from RNAcentral.
UACGUAGGGGGCAAGCGUUGUCCGGAUUUAUUGGGCGUAAAGAGCGUGUAGGCGGCUUUACAGGUCCGUUGUGAAAACUCGAGGCUCAACCUCGAGACGCCGGUGGAAACCGUAAAGCUAGAGUCCGGAAGAGGAGAGUGGAAUUCCUGGUGUAGCGGUGAAAUGCGCAGAUAUCGGGAGGAACACCAAUGGCGAAGGCAGCUCGCUGGGACGUUACUGACGCUGAGACGCGAAAGCGUGGGGAGCAAACAGG